GCAGCACGGGUGCUUGCACCUGGUGGCGAGUGGCGAACGGGUGAGUAAUACAUCGGAACGUACCUUAUCGUGGGGGAUAACGCAGCGAAAGUUGCGCUAAUACCGCAUACGCCCUGAGGGGGAAAGCGGGGGACCGUAAGGCCUCGCGCGAUUAGAGCGGCCGAUGUCUGAUUAGCUUGUUGGUGAGGUAAAAGCUCACCAAGGCGAUGAUCAGUAGCUGGUCUGAGAGGACGAUCAGCCACACUGGGACUGAGACACGGCCCAGACUCCUACGGGAGGCAGCAGUGGGGAAUUUUGGACAAUGGGGGCAACCCUGAUCCAGCAAUGCCGCGUGAGUGAAGAAGGCCUUCGGGUUGUAAAGCUCUUUUGUCAGGGAAGAAACAGCAGCUCUAACACAGUCUGCGAAUGACGGUACCUGAAGAAUAAGCACCGGCUAACUACGUGCCAGCAGCCGCGGUAAUACGUAGGGUGCGAGCGUUAAUCGGAAUUACUGGGCGUAAAGCGUGCGCAGGCGGUUAUACAAGACAGGCGUGAAAUCUCCGGGCUUAACCUGGGAAUGGCGUCUGUGACUGUAUAGCUAGAGUGUGUCAGAGGGGGGUGGAAUUCCACGUGUAGCAGUGAAAUGCGUAGAUAUGUGGAGGAACACCAAUGGCGAAGGCAGCCCCCUGGGAUAACACUGACGCUCAUGCACGAAAGCGUGGGGAGCAAACAGGAUUAGAUACCCUNNAGUCCACGCCCUAAACGAUGCUGACUAGUUGUUGGGAAUUUACAUUCUCAGUAACGUAGCUAACGCGUGAAGUCAGCCGCCUGGGGAGUACGGUCGCAAGAUUAAAACUCAAAGGAAUUGACGGGGAC
RNAcentral lists this ribosomal RNA (855 nucleotides) under uncultured bacterium. RNAcentral describes it as "bacterial SSU rRNA". It matches the Rfam family "Bacterial small subunit ribosomal RNA", at positions 66 to 920 of the family's 1533-position model. The record is from RNAcentral.